GUAAAGUUUAAUUCUGGCUUGUAGAUUUGCUUAAUUUUUCUUUUUACAUGUAAAUUUUUUGUGGGUUUAUUAAUUUUGAUUAAAUAUUAAUUUUAUUUUUUGUUAAUCUCAGUAUUUAAUAUUAUUAAUUUAAGAAAUUAUGAAUUAGGAAUUUAUUAUUAGCAUUAACAAAUUUUGUGCCAGCAGUUGCGGUUAAACAAGGGAUGCAAGUGAAUUUUAUUAGGAAGUAAUUAAAUGUAAUUAUUUAUAAUUUAAUAUUAAAUUUUUUAGGUGAAAUUUUAAAUUUAAAUGUAUUUUAUAAUUAAUGUUUUGAUGUUAUGAAAUUUAUUUUUAAACUAGGAUUAGAUACCCUAUUAUUUUAAAUGUAAAUUUUAAUUCUUAGGGAGUAUUAGUUAUGAUCUUGAAAUUUAAAGAUUUUGGCGGUAUUUUAGUCUAUUUAGAGGAACCUGUUUUUUAAUUGAUAGUCCACGAUUAACUUUACUUAAUUUAAUGAGUUUGUAUAUCGUCGUUAUAAGAGAAUUUUAUAAGAAUUUAAAAUUUUCAGUAGGUUUAAUUUUAGGAUAUUUCAGAUCAAGGUGCAAUUUAUAAUUAAGUUAAAAUGGGUUACAAUAAAUUUAUUUAAUAGAUGGAUUAGUCUUGGAAGAUUGAGACUAUAAAGGUGGAUUUAAUAGUAAUAUUUUUAGAAAUAUUAAAUAUGAUAGUAGCUCUAAAAUAUGUACAUAUCGCCCGUCACUCUUAUUUAAGGUAAGAUAAGUCGUAACAUAGUAGAUGUACUGGAAAGUGUAUCUAGAAUGAU
RNAcentral lists this non-coding RNA (796 nucleotides) under Manticora tibialis. The record is from RNAcentral. Lineage: Eukaryota; Metazoa; Arthropoda; Insecta; Coleoptera; Carabidae.